RNAcentral lists this transfer RNA (68 nucleotides) under Poecilasma litum. RNAcentral's name for it is "tRNA-Leu". It matches the Rfam family "tRNA". From Rfam's summary of the family: Transfer RNA (tRNA) molecules are approximately 80 nucleotides in length. Lineage: Eukaryota; Metazoa; Arthropoda; Thecostraca; Poecilasmatidae. The record is from RNAcentral.
UUUAAGGUGGCAGACAAGUGCAAUAGAUUUAAGAUCUAUAUAUAAAGGUUAAACUCCUUUUCUUAAAA